GGUAGGACUACCCGCUGAACUUGAGCAUAUCAAUAAGCC
Molecule: ribosomal RNA, 39 nt
Filed under: Laccaria sp. GMM6784
Lineage: Eukaryota; Fungi; Basidiomycota; Agaricomycetes; Agaricales; Hydnangiaceae
Description: partial 28S ribosomal RNA
Source: RNAcentral